This 76-nucleotide transfer RNA is filed under the name Aliikangiella marina. RNAcentral's name for it is "tRNA-Val". It matches the Rfam family "tRNA". From Rfam's summary of the family: Transfer RNA (tRNA) molecules are approximately 80 nucleotides in length. Their secondary structure includes four short double-helical elements and three loops (D, anti-codon, and T loops). The record is from RNAcentral. Lineage: Bacteria; Pseudomonadati; Pseudomonadota; Gammaproteobacteria; Oceanospirillales; Pleioneaceae.
AGCACUUUAGCUCAAUUGGUAGAACCAUUGUCUUACAUACAAUAGGUCAUCCGUUCGACUCGGAUAAGUGCUACCA